CGCAAGCCUGACGGAGCAACGCCGCGUGCGGGAGGACGGCCUGUGGGUUGUAAACCUCUUUUCUUAGGGAAGAACCUAUGACGGUACCUAAGGAAUAAGCAUCGGCUAACUCCGUGCCAGCAGCCGCGGUAAUACGGAGGAUGCAAGCGUUAUCCGGAAUUAUUGGGCGUAAAGCGUCCGCAGGUGGCUUAGAAAGUCUGCUGUCAAAGACCGAAGCUUAACUUCGGGCAGGCAGUGGAAACUGCUAGGCUAGAGGCCGGUAGGGGUAGAGGGAAUUCCCAGUGUAGCGGUGAAAUGCGUAGAGAUUGGGAAGAACACCAGUGGCGAAGGCGCUCUACUGGGCCGGUACUGACACUCAGGGACGAAAGCUAGGGGAGCG
Molecule: ribosomal RNA, 379 nt
Filed under: uncultured cyanobacterium
Lineage: Bacteria; Bacillati; Cyanobacteriota
Description: bacterial SSU rRNA
Rfam family: Bacterial small subunit ribosomal RNA
Source: RNAcentral